UUUAUAUCAAGGGGUUGUAGGACCGCGCAAGUACAUGCAAAAGUGUUAGCUGAAUGGUCUGGCAAGUCCAACCAAAGAAGGUGAAAGUCCUGUAGGCGAAAACAGCUUUUGAUGGAAGCGGUAUCCUGAGUAUCACCGGACACGUGAAAUCCGGUGUGAAACUGCCCGGCCCAUCGGGUAAGGCUAAAUACUCUCUGACGACCGAUAGUGAACCAGUACCGCGAGGGAAAGGUGAAAAGUACCCCUGACGGGGAGUGAAAAGUACCUGAAACCGUGCGUUUACAAGUAGUCAAAGUCCUAUGUCCGGGCACCUAACACUCUGCAUAUAAUUUUUAAAAUAUUUCUGUUUGAGAAAUAUCUUAAUAAUAAAAAUUAAUUGUGCUUUGUGCUAGGUGCUUGGAAACGGACGAUGGCGUGCCUGUUGAAGAAUGAUCCGGCGAGUUAUACCUGUCGUGCGAGCUUAACCCGAUAAUAGGGGGAGGCGUAGGGAAACCGAGUGUUAAUAGCGCGAAUAGUACGAUAGGAUAGACCCGAAGCCAAGUGAUCUAACCCUGGACAGGGUGAAACCAACUUAACCGUUGGUGGAGGCCCGAAGCGUUGACUGUUGAAAAAGUCCUGCAUGAGCUGGGGUUAGGGGCGAAAGGCCAAUCUAACUUGGUGAUAGCUGGUUUUCCUCGAAAUAGUUUUAGGGCUAGCCUUGUAAUUUAAAGAAGAGAGGUAGAGCACUGGAUAGAGUAGGGCCCUUACCGGGGUUCCAAAUUUAACCAAACUCCGAAUUCUUUUCCGUACAUUACAGGAGUCAGAAAGUGAGGGCUAAGCUUCAUUUUCAAAAGGGAAACAGCCCAGACCGUCAGUUAAGGUCCCUAAAUUCAUGCUAAGUGGUUAAGGAUGUGAGAGUACAAAGACAGCUAGGAGGUUGGCUUAGAAGCAGCCACCCUUUAAAGAGUGCGUAACAGCUCACUAGUCAAGUAUUCCUGCGCCGAAAAUACACGGGGCUCAAGCAUGAUACCGAAUCUGCGGAUUCAUUGGUUCUUAGGAACCUUUGAGUGGUAGAGGAACGUUCUGUUGUAGGUUGAAGGCAUACCGAAAGGAAUGCUGGACGAAGCAGAAGUGAGGAUGUCGGAAUAAGUAGCGAUAAAACAUGUGAGAUACAUGUUCGCCGUAAGCCUAAGGUUUCCUUGAGUAAAGUUAAUCUGCUCAGGGUCAGUCGGUCCUAAGUCGAGGCCGAAAGGCGUAGACGAAGGGCAUCAGGUUAAUAUUCCUGAACUACGAUAACAGCGCUACAGAGUAAAGGGGAGACGCAGGAGGGUAAACCAUCCUGGUUUUGGAUUACCAGGUCUAAGCACGUAGGGAAUCGAGAUUGGAAAAUCCGUUUCGGUACAUCCUGAAAUGCGAAUGGGACUGCGCCGCAAGGCGCGGGAACUGGUCCAACCACACUGACAAGAAAAUCCUCGUUAUGAGUUGUUAUUGUAUCCGUACCGCAAACCGACACAGGUAGGCGGGUAGAAAAUACUAAGGCGCUCGAGCUAACCCUCGUUUAGGAACUCGGCAAAAUAGCCCCGUAACUUCGGAAUAAGGGGUGCCUGUCGCAAGACGGGCCGCAGUGAAAUGGCUCUCGCGACUGUUUAACAAAAACACAGGACUCUGCUGAAAUCACAAGAUGAUGUAUAGGGUCUGACGCCUGCCCGGUGCUGGAAGGUCAAGGGGAGAGGUCAUCUGCCGCAAGGCGGAGAAGCUUUGAACUCAAGCCCCAGUAAACGGCGGCCGUAACUAUAACGGUCCUAAGGUAAUGAGAAUUUCAAAGCCCUUUAUGCUGGUAACGGCAUAUCGAAUCUAACUGUAUCGGUGAAGCCCUAAUCAAUUUUUCAUUGAUGGGUAAUACCGAGGGAAGUCGUAAUUGACCCCGUAGAGACUACACGUUAGCCCCUAAUAAAAAUAGGGUGGAGAUAUAGUCCAUGCCGAUAGUAAUAUUGGAUAAUCAUGAGCGAAAUUCCUUGUCGGGUAAGUUCCGACCUGCACGAAUGGCGUAACGAAGAGAGCACUGUCUCAACGAGGGACUCGGCGAAAUUAUGGUGCAAGUGAAGACGCUUGCUGCCCGCGGUAAGACGAAAAGACCCCGUGGAGCUUUACUGUAACUUAACCUUGAAUUACGGUCUUGGAUGCGUAGAAUAGGUGGGACCCUUUGAAGGUCCGAUUUUGGUCGGGCUGGAGGGGAAAUGUGAAAUACCACCCUUUCAACACUGCGGUUCUAACUCCGCUCCCUAUAUCGGGACGGAGAACAUGGUUAGGUGGGCAGUUUAACUGGGGCGGUUGCCUCCUAAAUUGUAACGGAGGCGUUCAUAAGGUUCCCUCAGGCCGUAUAGAAAUCGGCCAUCGAGCGCAAGGGCAGAAGGGAGCUUAACUGCAAGACAUACAAGUCGAGCAGAUGCGAAAGCAGGACCUAGUGAUCCGGCGGUUGCGUAUGGAAGUGCCGUCGCUCAACGGAUAAAAGCUACCCCGGGGAUAACAGGCUAAUCGUGCCCAAGAGUUCAUAUCGACGGCACGGUUUGGCACCUCGAUGUCGGCUCAUCGCAUCCUCCCGCUGAAGUAGGUGGGAAGGGUUUGGCUGUUCGCCAAUUAAAGCGGUACGUGAGCUGGGUUCAGUACGUCGUGAGACAGUACGGUCUCUAUCUACCGUGGGCGUAGGAAACUUGAGGGGUUCUGUCCUUAGUACGAGAGGACCGGGAUGGACGCACUGCUGGUGUUCCAGCUGUUCCGCCAGGAGCAAAAGCUGGGUAGCCACGUGCGGAUAGGAUAAACGCUGAAAGCAUCUAAGCGUGAAGCCUGCCCCAAGAUUAGGUUUCCCUUUUAGACCACCAGUAGACUACUGGUUUGAUAGGCUGGGUGUGUAAGCGCAGUAAUGUGUUGAGCUAUCCAGUACUAAUUGGUCGAUUGACUUAGCCAU
This 2944-nucleotide ribosomal RNA is filed under the name sediment metagenome. Its description in RNAcentral is "bacterial LSU rRNA". It matches the Rfam family "Bacterial large subunit ribosomal RNA". The record is from RNAcentral.